Molecule: ribosomal RNA, 433 nt
Filed under: uncultured bacterium
Lineage: Bacteria
Description: partial 16S ribosomal RNA
Rfam family: Bacterial small subunit ribosomal RNA
Source: RNAcentral
AACGAACGCUGGCGGCAUGCCUAACACAUGCAAGUCGAACGAGACCUGCGGGUCUAGUGGCGCACGGGUGCGUAACGCGUGGGAACCUGCCCUUAGGCUCGGAAUAACUCCCCGAAAGGGGUGCUAAUACCGGGUAAUGUCUUCGGACCAAAGAUUUAUCGCCUUUGGUUGGGCCCGCGUUGGAUUAGUUAGUUGGUAGGGUAAAAGCCUACCAAGGCGACGUUGCAUAGCUGGUGUGAGAGGAUGACCAGCUACACUGGGACUGAGACACGGCCCAGACUCCUACGGGAGGGAGCAGUGUGGAAUAUUGGACAAUGGGCGCAAGCCUGAUCCAGCAAUGCCGCGUGAGUGAUGAAGGCCUUAGGGUUGUAAAGCUCUUUUAGCCGGGAUGAUAAUGACAGUACCGGGAGAAUAAGCUCCGGCUAACUCCGUG